This 266-nucleotide ribosomal RNA is filed under the name uncultured bacterium. Its description in RNAcentral is "partial 16S ribosomal RNA". It matches the Rfam family "Bacterial small subunit ribosomal RNA", at positions 88 to 354 of the family's 1533-position model. The record is from RNAcentral.
UGAGUUAGUGGCGGACGGGUGAGUAACGCGUGGAAAACCUGCCGUAUACUGGGGGAUAACACUUAGAAAUAGGUGCUAAUACCGCAUAAGCGCACAGCUUCGCACGAAGCGGUGUGAAAAACUCUGGUGGUAUACGAUGGUUCCGCGUCUGAUUAGCUAGUUGGUGGGGUAAUGGCCUACCAAGGCAACGAUCAGUAGCCGGCCCGAGAGGGUGAACGGCCACAUUGGGACUGAGACACGGCCCAAACUCCUACGGAAGGCAGCAG